AUGUCCUACGGGGGGCAGCAGUAGGGAAUCUUCCACAAUGGGCGAAAGCCUGAUGGAGCAACGCCGCGUGGGUGAAGAAGGUCUUCGGAUCGUAAAACCCUGUUGUUAGAGAAGAAAGUGCGUGAGAGUAAAUGUUCACGUUUCGACGGUAUCUAACCAGAAAGCCACGGCUAACUACGUGCCAGCAGCCGCGGUAAUACGUAGGUGGCAAGCGUUAUCCGGAUUUAUUGGGCGUAAAGUGAACGCAGGCGGUCUUUUAAGUCUGAAGUGCAAGCC
Molecule: ribosomal RNA, 276 nt
Filed under: uncultured bacterium
Lineage: Bacteria
Description: partial 16S ribosomal RNA
Rfam family: Bacterial small subunit ribosomal RNA
Source: RNAcentral